This 253-nucleotide ribosomal RNA is filed under the name uncultured bacterium. RNAcentral's name for it is "partial 16S ribosomal RNA". It matches the Rfam family "Bacterial small subunit ribosomal RNA", at positions 524 to 776 of the family's 1533-position model. The record is from RNAcentral.
UACGAAGGUCCCGAGCGUUGUUCGGAAUCACUGGGCGUAAAGGGAGCGUAGGCGGCGCGGUAAGUCAGAUGUGAAAUCCCGGGGCUCAACCCCGGAACUGCAUCCGGUACUGCCGUGCUAGAGGAUUGGAGAGGUAGCUGGAAUUCUUGGUGUAGCAGUGAAAUGCGUGGAUAUCAAGAGGAACACCGGUGGCGAAGGCGGGUCUCUGGGCCGAUACUGACGCUGAGGAGCGAAAGCGUGGGGAGCGAACAGG